RNAcentral lists this long non-coding RNA (230 nucleotides) under Manihot esculenta (cassava). RNAcentral describes it as "long non-coding RNA (MESC_LNC012474)". The record is from RNAcentral. Lineage: Eukaryota; Viridiplantae; Streptophyta; Magnoliopsida; Malpighiales; Euphorbiaceae.
UGAUCUGGCGGAUACCCACCUUGUGGCCUUGGCAUAAAAUGCCUUUUAAACCUUUUAUGAAGCGAUACUAACAUCUAGUCAUGUGGCCUAGCAGAUACCUGCCCUGUGGCCUUGGCAUAAAAUGCCUUAGAAACUUUUUGAGAAAUGAGACUAACGCCCGGUCGUGUGGCCUGGCUAACACUCACCUUAUGGCCUGGACAUAAAAUGCCUUUUAAAUUUUUUGUGAAGCG